RNAcentral lists this ribosomal RNA (484 nucleotides) under uncultured bacterium. Its description in RNAcentral is "partial 16S ribosomal RNA". It matches the Rfam family "Bacterial small subunit ribosomal RNA", at positions 30 to 507 of the family's 1533-position model. The record is from RNAcentral.
AUUGAACGCUGGCGGCAGGCCUAACACAUGCAAGUCGAGCGGAUGAAGGGAGCUUGCUCCUGGAUUCAGCGGCGGACGGGUGAUUAAUGCCUAGGAAUCUGCCUGGUAGUGGGGGAUAACGUCCGGAAACGGGCGCUAAUACCGCAUACGUCCUGAGGGAGAAAGUGGGGGAUCUUCGGACCUCACGCUAUCAGAUGAGCCUAGGUCGGAUUAGCUAGUUGGUGGGGUAAAGGCCUACCAAGGCGACGAUCCGUAACUGGUCUGAGAGGAUGAUCAGUCACACUGGAACUGAGACACGGUCCAGACUCCUACGGGAGGCAGCAGUGGGGAAUAUUGGACAAUGGGCGAAAGCCUGAUCCAGCCAUGCCGCAUGUGUGAAGAAGGUCUUCGGAUUGUAAAGCACUUUAAGUUGGGAGGAAGGGCAGUAAGUUAAUACCUUGCUGUUUUGACGUUACCAACAGAAUAAGCACCGGCUAACUUCGUG